UGCAAACUUCUUUUCAGACAUCAAUUGAGCAGUCUUAAAAAUACAAUGCGGCGAGAACGCGGAUUAUGUGAACAACCCUGGCUAGACUUACAACUCAAUAGGUGAAACAACAAAGAAAUGAAGGCAACAAGAACCAAAUCACCACCCCAUGACUAAUAAUAUCUGAACACGCUACAAAAUGUGUAACUAUUUUUUCCCUGGGUACCAUGAUGUGGCACCAGCAGGCUGCAAAAGCUCCUUGUAUGGCUAGGGUUGGCGAUCUCCAGGCUCGUGAUGAAACUAAGAACCUUCAAGAGCGGCUGGGGUGGAUGAUUUGGCUCGCGCUCCUGCCGUCUUUAGGCUGCAACUGGUUCAUUUACAG
Molecule: long non-coding RNA, 361 nt
Filed under: Triticum aestivum (bread wheat)
Lineage: Eukaryota; Viridiplantae; Streptophyta; Magnoliopsida; Poales; Poaceae
Description: long non-coding RNA (TAES_LNC013396)
Source: RNAcentral